UGUUCUAACAUGCGGGUUGCCUUCGACGGUCGAAAUCCGGCGGACGGAGCCGCUCCGCUCGGGUUGGAACCUUAUCCCUCACGGUAUCUCUCUCUCACCCUCCACUCGCAUCUCACCCAGAGCCGCCCGCCGGCCAGGACCGCCGGCGCCGCCAGCCGGGCCCGCACGCCGCCGACCCCGCCCGCUGUCUCCUUUCCCGGCCGCCCCGCCGGCGCGCCGGACCCGCUGGAAGCCGCUCUCCUGGCCGGCGGCCGCGCCCGCCCGCCGGUCCCCUGCCCAGAAGCUCCGCCCGCCGGUGUCCCAACCCCCGCGGAGAUCAGUACUGAUUUGAAUAGUUGUGCUGAUUCGAUAGAUGAGUACUGAUUGCUUAAUGUACUAGAGCUAGGAAUUUGGUUAGGCAAGCAGAACUUAUUGCCGAUGCUACUUGCUAGAACCAUUCGGAGCCUCAUGCUAUGUAAGAAAACUGAAACUCAGUUCUGUUUCACUUAACACCAGACUAGUGCAGCUCAUAUCAUCUGAUAGUUUAAGAGCCUACAGAUUUUGCUGACCAGUUGUUCUGUUCAGCGUAAAAAAUUCAGGCUAUGAUGCUUGCCUGCUUCAUCAGUUGGUCCUUUGAAUCCUUGAUACUGCCAAAUCAGAAGCUCUUCUGUUUUGAUUAGUUUUUUCCUAUUGAUUAUGCCCCUUUCAUAUCAGUGACCUCGUGUGCCUAUGUAGUGUUUGGUAAUCUGCAUUCUAUUUUGCUUAACUGCUGCCCAUUACUACCCCUUCCAAUGUGUAGCCAUCCAAUGUCUAACAGAUGAUAACAUUUUGUCAGGCUCCAUUCAGAGCUCCCCAUUCAGUCAUUUUCAUUCAGUUUCGUCAGUCACAAGACAACAGAUACAUGCUCGAGAGCACAGGCUUCAACUUCAACCCUUGGAUCUUCAUUAGAAGGUUGUGGUCCAGGCCUCGAGUUGUGCCGGCACGUUCAUCGUAGACCCGCCAUGAAUCCUCAUUACAUUCAGUGAGCAAUCUAAUUCAAGCAGCCUGCAUGCCUCGAACUGCAACCAAAAAAAACUUAGUAUACAAAUAUUAAAAGAUCGAAAAUGCCGUCAAUAUUUACUCACCGCUCCA
Long non-coding RNA from Panicum virgatum (switchgrass), 1110 nucleotides. RefSeq lists it as uncharacterized. The record is from RefSeq and is a predicted model, not a curated record. The transcript has 2 exons. NCBI's taxonomy places the organism in Eukaryota, Viridiplantae, Streptophyta, Magnoliopsida, Poales, Poaceae.